AUGAAGAAAUUUAUCAAGACUCAAGUACAGUCCUGCUUGGUGUGUCAGCAAGCUAAGCCAGACAGAGUUCAAUACCCUGGGUUGUUAUCUCCUCUGCCAGUGCCUAAUAAAGCUUGGGACACAGUGUCCAUGGAUUUUAUAUCAGGUCUUCCUACAUCCUUCCAGUAUGAUUACAUACUGGUGGUGAUCGACAAGUUCUCUAAGUAUGGCCAUUUCAUUUCUCUAUCACACCCAUUCAAUGCUCAGGAAGUGGCUAAAGUUUCCAUAGAUAAUGUGUAUAAGUUACAUGGUAUGCCCAGGUUGAUAAUCUGUGAUAGGGAUCCCAUUUUCACUAGCUCCUUCUGGCAACUGCUCAUCUCAAGAACUGGAGCAGAACUAAAUAUGAGUACAACAUAUCACCCAGAGACUGAUGGACAGACUGAAAUAGUAAAUCAGCAAAUUGAGUGCUUAUUGAGGUGUUUUAUCAGUGCUCAUCCAACUAAGUGGAGCAAGUGGCUGUCACUCUAUGAAUUCUGGUACAAUACCAACUGGCAUUCUGUACUGAAUAAAUCGCCCUUUGAGAUCAUUUAUGGACAGACUUCACGAUUCUUUGGAGUAUCUGCUUCUGAUACGAUUGCUCCAGUAGAUAUCCAAUCCUGGCUAGACUCGCGGAAAUUGAUGAUUGAUUCAGUCAGACAACAUCUGUUGCGUGUACAACAGAGAAUGAAGCACCAGGAACAUAAGAAAUGA
Molecule: ribosomal RNA, 729 nt
Filed under: Triticum aestivum (bread wheat)
Lineage: Eukaryota; Viridiplantae; Streptophyta; Magnoliopsida; Poales; Poaceae
Description: partial small subunit ribosomal RNA
Source: RNAcentral